GACGAACGCUGGCGGCGUGCUUAACACAUGCAAGUCGAACGGAAAGGCCCUGCUUUUGUGGGGUGCUCGAGUGGCGAACGGGUGAGUAACACGUGAGUAACCUGCCCUUGACUUUGGGAUAACUUCAGGAAACUGGGGCUAAUACCGGAUAGGAGCUCCUGCUGCAUGGUGGGGGUUGGAAAGUUUCGGCGGUUGGGGAUGGACUCGCGGCUUAUCAGCUUGUUGGUGGGGUAGUGGCUUACCAAGGCUUUGACGGGUAGCCGGCCGGGGGGGGUGACCGGCCACAUGGGAAUGGGGGUCCGGCCAGAACCCCUAGGGAGGGAGGAGGGGGGAAUAUUGCCACAAGGGGCGAAGGCCUAGGGCGGCAACCCCGGGUGGGGAAGACGGGCCUUGGGGUGGAAAACGGCUUUCGCUUUGAACAAGGCGGGGUUGCGGUAAUGGGUAAAAGAGGCACGGCCAACCUCGUU
This 467-nucleotide ribosomal RNA is filed under the name uncultured bacterium. Its description in RNAcentral is "partial 16S ribosomal RNA". It matches the Rfam family "Bacterial small subunit ribosomal RNA", at positions 28 to 507 of the family's 1533-position model. The record is from RNAcentral.